UUAAGUGACUAAGCGUACACGGUGGAUGCCUUGGCAGUCAGAGGCGAUGAAAGACGUAGUAACUUGCGAUAAGCCCAGAUUAGGUAGUAACAACCAUUUGAGUCUGGGAUUUCUGAAUGGGGAAACCCACGUGCAUAAGCACGUAUCCUUACCUGAAUACAUAGGGUAAGGAGGCGAACCGGGGGAACUGAAACAUCUAAGUACCCCGAGGAAAAGAAAUCAACCGAGAUUCCGAAAGUAGCGGCGAGCGAAAUUGGACUAGCCCUUAAGCUUUACACGCGUUAGACGAACGGUCUGGAAAGUCCGACGAUACAGGGUGAUAGUCCCGUAGUUGACGACGUGUGUUCAGUGAAAUCGAGUAGGGCGGGACACGUGAUAUCCUGUCUGAAUAUGGGGGGACCAUCCUCCAAGGCUAAAUACUACUGACUGACCGAUAGUGAACCAGUACCGUGAGGGAAAGGCGAAAAGAACCCCUGUGAGGGGAGUGAAAUAGAACCUGAAACCGUGUACGUACAAGCAGUAGGAGCAGGCUUUGUCCUGUGACUGCGUACCUUUUGUAUAAUGGGUCAGCGACUUAUAUUCAGUGGCAAGGUUAACCAUCUAGGGGAGCCGUAGGGAAACCGAGUCUUAACUGGGCGUUCAGUCUCUGGAUAUAGACCCGAAACCAGGUGAUCUAGCCAUGGGCAGGUUGAAGGUUGAGUAACAUCAACUGGAGGACCGAACCGACUAAUGUUGAAAAAUUAGCGGAUGACUUGUGGCUAGGGGUGAAAGGCCAAUCAAACCUGGAGAUAGCUGGUUCUCCCGAAAGCUAUUUAGGUAGCGCCUCGGACGAAUACUACUGGGGGUAGAGCACUGUUAAGGCUAGGGGGUCAUCCCGACUUACCAACCCUUUGCAAACUCCGAAUACCAGUAAGUACUAUCCGGGAGACACACGGCGGGUGCUAACGUCCGUCGUGGAGAGGGAAACAACCCAGACCGCCAGCUAAGGUCCCAAAUUACUACUAAGUGGGAAACGAUGUGGGAAGGCUCAGACAGCCAGGAUGUUGGCUUAGAAGCAGCCAUCAUUUAAAGAAAGCGUAAUAGCUCACUGGUCGAGUCGGCCUGCGCGGAAGAUGUAACGGGGCUAAGUAGUAAACCGAAGCUGCGGCAAUGCACUUUUGUGCAUUGGGUAGGGGAGCGUUCUGUAAGCGGUUGAAGGUGUGUGGUAACGCAUGCUGGACGUAUCAGAAGUGCGAAUGCUGACAUGAGUAACGAUAAAGGGGGUGAAAAACCUCCUCGCCGGAAGACCAAGGGUUCCUGUCCAACGUUAAUCGGGGCAGGGUAAGUCGACCCCUAAGGCGAGGCCGAAAGGCGUAGUCGAUGGGAAACGGGUUAAUAUUCCCGUACUUCUUACAAUUGCGAUGGGGGGACGGAGAAGGCUAGGUGGGCCUGGCGACGGUUGUCCAGGUUCAAGUGCGUAGGCUUAAGAGUUAGGUAAAUCCGGCUCUUUUUAAGGCUGAGACACGACGUCGAGCACCUACGGGUGUGAAGUCAUUGAUGCCAUGCUUCCAGGAAAAGCCUCUAAGCUUCAGAUUGUAAGGAAUCGUACCCCAAACCGACACAGGUGGUCGGGUAGAGAAUACCAAGGCGCUUGAGAGAACUCGGGUGAAGGAACUAGGCAAAAUGGUACCGUAACUUCGGGAGAAGGUACGCUCUUGACGGUGAAGUCCCUCGCGGAUGGAGCUGACGAGAGUCGCAGAUACCAGGUGGCUGCAACUGUUUAUUAAAAACACAGCACUGUGCAAAAUCGUAAGAUGACGUAUACGGUGUGACGCCUGCCCGGUGCCGGAAGGUUAAUUGAUGGGGUUAGACUUCGGUCGAAGCUCUUGAUCGAAGCCCCGGUAAACGGCGGCCGUAACUAUAACGGUCCUAAGGUAGCGAAAUUCCUUGUCGGGUAAGUUCCGACCUGCACGAAUGGCGUAAUGAUGGCCACGCUGUCUCCACCCGAGACUCAGUGAAAUUGAAAUCGCUGUGAAGAUGCAGUGUACCCGCGGCUAGACGGAAAGACCCCGUGAACCUUUACUACAGCUUGGCACUGAACAUUGACCCUACAUGUGUAGGAUAGGUGGGAGGCUUUGAAGCACGUACGCCAGUAUGUGUGGAGCCGUCCUUGAAAUACCACCCUUGUAGUGUUGAUGUUCUAACGUCGACCCCUUAUCGGGGUUGCGGACAGUGCCUGGUGGGUAGUUUGACUGGGGCGGUCUCCUCCCAAAGAGUAACGGAGGAGCACGAAGGUGGGCUAAUCACGGUUGGACAUCGUGAGGUUAGUGCAAUGGCAUAAGCCCGCUUGACUGCGAGAAUGACAAUUCGAGCAGGUGCGAAAGCAGGUCAUAGUGAUCCGGUGGUUCUGAAUGGAAGGGCCAUCGCUCAACGGAUAAAAGGUACUCCGGGGAUAACAGGCUGAUACCGCCCAAGAGUUCAUAUCGACGGCGGUGUUUGGCACCUCGAUGUCGGCUCAUCACAUCCUGGGGCUGAAGUCGGUCCCAAGGGUAUGGCUGUUCGCCAUUUAAAGUGGUACGCGAGCUGGGUUUAGAACGUCGUGAGACAGUUCGGUCCCUAUCUGCCGUGGGCGUUGGAAGAUUGAAGGGGGCUGCUCCUAGUACGAGAGGACCGGAGUGGACGAACCUCUGGUGUUCGGGUUGUGUCGCCAGACGCAUUGCCCGGUAGCUAAGUUCGGAAUCGAUAACCGCUGAAAGCAUCUAAGCGGGAAGCGAGCCCUGAGAUGAGUCUUCCCUGAUACUUUAAGUAUCCUAAAGGGUUGUCGGAGACUACGACGUUGAUAGGUCAGGUGUGUAAGUGCUGUGAGGCAUUGAGCUAACUGAUACUAAUUGCCCGUGAGGCUUAACCAU
RNAcentral lists this ribosomal RNA (2888 nucleotides) under Vibrio parahaemolyticus. RNAcentral describes it as "bacterial LSU rRNA". It matches the Rfam family "Bacterial large subunit ribosomal RNA". The record is from RNAcentral. Lineage: Bacteria; Pseudomonadati; Pseudomonadota; Gammaproteobacteria; Vibrionales; Vibrionaceae.